CACGCUGUAAACGAUGUCAACUAGCUGUUGGUCAUAUGAAUGUGAUUAGUGGCGAAGCUAACGCGAUAAGUUGACCGCCUGGGGANCAACGCGAAGAACCUUACCUACCCUUGACAUACAGCGAAUUCGGGAGAGAUCUUGAAGUGCCUUCGGGAACGCUGAUACAGGUGC
Molecule: ribosomal RNA, 171 nt
Filed under: uncultured bacterium
Lineage: Bacteria
Description: partial 16S ribosomal RNA
Rfam family: Bacterial small subunit ribosomal RNA
Source: RNAcentral